CUAAAUAGUUCUGUAACAAAACAAUUCGCCAGAGAACUACUAGCAACAGCUUAAAACUCAAAGGACUUGGCGGUGCUUUAUAUCCCUCUAGAGGAGCCUGUUCUAUAAUCGAUAAACCCCGAUAAACCUCACCAUCCCUUGCUAAUACAGUCUAUAUACCGCCAUCUUCAGCAAACAAAAAU
Molecule: ribosomal RNA, 182 nt
Filed under: Vulpes vulpes (red fox)
Lineage: Eukaryota; Metazoa; Chordata; Mammalia; Carnivora; Canidae
Description: partial small subunit ribosomal RNA
Source: RNAcentral